AUUGAACGCUGGCGGCAUGCUUUACACAUGCAAGUCGAACGGCAGCGCGGGCUUCGGCCUGGCGGCGAGUGGCGAACGGGUGAGUAAUACAUCGGAACGUGCCCAGUAGUGGGGGAUAGCUCGGCGAAAGCCGGAUUAAUACCGCAUACGACCUGAGGGUGAAAGCGGGGGAUCUUCGGACCUCGCGCCAUUGGAGCGGCCGAUGGCAGAUUAGCUAGUUGGUGGGGUAAAGGCCUACCAAGGCGACGAUCUGUAGCUGGUCUGAGAGGACGACCAGCCACUCUGGGACUGAGACACGGCCCAGACUCCUACGGGAGGCAGCAGUGGGGAAUUUUGGACAAUGGGCGAAAGCCUGAUCCAGCAAUGCCGCGUGUGUGAUGAAGGCCUUCGGGUUGUAAAGCACUUUUGGCGGGAACGAAAAGGACUGUGCCAAUACCACGGUUCGAUGACGGUACCCGCAGAAUAAGCACCGGCUAACUACGUG
RNAcentral lists this ribosomal RNA (484 nucleotides) under uncultured bacterium. RNAcentral describes it as "partial 16S ribosomal RNA". It matches the Rfam family "Bacterial small subunit ribosomal RNA", at positions 29 to 507 of the family's 1533-position model. The record is from RNAcentral.